CCGCUGAAACUUGGAAAUAUUUAUUCUUGAAAAAGCAGAGCCAGUACAAGUUUACCAGGUCGCUCGGUCUUUUCGAUGAAAGCUGAUCUGGGAUUAAAUUGACACACACCUAGAUCGACAUGCCGAAUAACAAAGCAAUUUUGAGUCCAUUUCUUACUCCUCAACCAGACGGUUAUCGCAAUCCCUGCGCUGAGCUUCCCGUCAAAUCACAGCCAAAUCAAAAUACACCACUUUACACCUUCAGACUGAACAACAUCCCCUGUAUUUUGAAUACUCUGGUUGGUACUGAAGUCCAAUAACUGGUCGGAGCCCUACAUGGUUUAUGGCGACUACUCUUGAGAAAAAAUAUGCUUUAACUGAGAUUCAUCCAAGAGGGCUAAAGUAUGCUACAUUAUCACAUCUACUCGGUUAAAAUCCAUAAUAGAAGAUGACUCACAGUCGGUUCACAAGCAUCUGUACGAAAGCAGUGUAAGUGAAGAUUAGUGUCUAAAACUCAUUGAUGAAAUUACCAACGAACAAAGAACCUACAAAACGCGCUCAGAAAAUUAAAGCAUGUCUUCCUGCAUCCCACAUUUGCAAUCUUUUAUUUCACAAAUUGUAACUAGAUCUAUGGUAACCCUCUCACCUCAAAAAUUGCAGCUGUAUCUAAAGGAGCAAUACUGCCUCUAAAGCAAUAAUGUAUCUAACGGAGCACUAUGUUCUUCAUUUUCAACAUGUCAUAAGUCAUGGGAACAGUUGUAAAAUAUAAAACACUUAUAAUUCCGUCACUGCGUUGUCACCCUUGUCAUAAUCAUAUAAUUAAUCCUACCGCUUUUGUCCAGUGAUUGCUAGUGCAGCGUAGAAUAAGAUUUACUGGAUUUCUGAACUACAUUUUGCAAGUCGAAAUUCUGUUUGUAACCUCAUAUUUUCCUUAUUGUAUAUUGCCACAGUACUUCUCGUAAAAAGAAAGCAAACCCAUCCCCAAAGCAGCCCGUAACGAUUGAAAAGUAACAGACUACUUAAGUCAAGGUAGAACAUGUGCUAUCCCAAUUUGAAGUAGAAACACGUGUUUGCAGCCGUAACAAAAAUGAAAAAGAAACAGAUUCUUUUUUCCUUUAUGGUACACUAAUUCUUGAGAAUUCUUGAGUCAUGAAAUCAUUUCCCUUUUCUCCUUAGAAUUGGAUCCAAUUGCUGCUAGGGAUUUUUUUUACUGUAUAUCGAAACGAAGA
Molecule: long non-coding RNA, 1208 nt
Organism: Octopus bimaculoides (California two-spot octopus)
Lineage: Eukaryota; Metazoa; Mollusca; Cephalopoda; Octopoda; Octopodidae
Source: RefSeq, a predicted model, not a curated record